GCCGGGAUAGUCUAGUGGUUAUGACGUCUGCCUUACACGCAGAAGAUCGCGAGUUCAAUCCUCGCUCCUGGUA
Molecule: non-coding RNA, 73 nt
Organism: Perkinsus marinus ATCC 50983
Lineage: Eukaryota; Perkinsozoa; Perkinsida; Perkinsidae
Source: Rfam